Molecule: long non-coding RNA, 287 nt
Organism: Physella acuta
Lineage: Eukaryota; Metazoa; Mollusca; Gastropoda; Physidae
Source: RefSeq, a predicted model, not a curated record
ACUGCCACACCAACGACAACAUCAGCAACCACGAGAACGACAACAACCACCAGAACAACAACCACUCCUGCACCACUCCUUUGUUAUAACACAACUUGCAACUACGAAAAUUGCCUUAAAGAUUUGAUAAACAACAACAGCACAACAACAUGUUUGAAACAAUCUUCAUUCCCUUGCACGAUUGAAAUCUCCAACACUACAGCCCCCUCCUACACGGUGAAGGCAACGUGUGCUAGCAGCAAUUGUGAUGACAGUUUUCACAUUAUGGUCGCUGGGAAAAAUAUGAC